RNAcentral lists this ribosomal RNA (492 nucleotides) under uncultured bacterium. Its description in RNAcentral is "partial 16S ribosomal RNA". It matches the Rfam family "Bacterial small subunit ribosomal RNA", at positions 29 to 507 of the family's 1533-position model. The record is from RNAcentral.
AGUGAACGCUGGCGGUAGGCCUAACACAUGCAAGUCGAACGGCAGCACAGUAAGAGCUUGCUCUUACGGGUGGCGAGUGGCGGACGGGUGAGGAAUACAUCGGAAUCUACUUUUUCGUGGGGGAUAACGUAGGGAAACUUACGCUAAUACCGCAUACGACCUACGGGUGAAAGCAGGGGAUCUUCGGACCUUGCGCGAUUGAAUGAGCCGAUGUCGGAUUAGCUAGUUGGCGGGGUAAAGGCCCACCAAGGCGACGAUCCGUAGCUGGUCUGAGAGGAUGAUCAGCCACACUGGAACUGAGACACGGUCCAGACUCCUACGGGAGGCAGCAGUGGGGAAUAUUGGACAAUGGGCGAAAGCCUGAUCCAGCCAUACCGCGUGGGUGAAGAAGGCCUUCGGGUUGUAAAGCCCUUUUGUUGGGAAAGAAAAGCAGCAGGUUAAUACCCCGCUGUUCUGACGGUACCCAUAGAAUAAGCACCGGCUAACUUCGUG